Paramormyrops kingsleyae is the source of this 504-nucleotide long non-coding RNA. RefSeq lists it as uncharacterized. The record is from RefSeq and is a predicted model, not a curated record. Lineage: Eukaryota; Metazoa; Chordata; Actinopteri; Osteoglossiformes; Mormyridae.
AGCACAUGCGCAGUCGUUUCCUAAGUCGUUGACGUUAGUACUAUGACAACGGUGAGAUUCUGUGAAGUAGUUGAACCGCUGAGCUGCUGAAAAUGUACUAAAGCUCAAAUAUACCAUUUUCCUCUAAGGUGGGAUGUCUCUCUUUAAAGCUCGGGAGUGGUGGUUCACUGUCCUGGGAGAAAGGGAGGAAUUUGACCGGGGGUGCCUGUGUAUCAGUGAUGUAGAUAACAGUGGCUCUGGACAUGCUCUACUAACCAGGCGACUGGAGCAUUGAAUUCUGCGACCGCUUUGGAGGAAUCGGGUGAAGAGAAUGAAAAUGGAUAGGAGCAACACUUUUUAUAUUUAUUUAUUCCACAUGAAAGAUUUACAUAUUUCUUGAUUAUUUGUAUAUUUGUAAAAUAAAAGUUUACCAGAAUGUUUUGUUCUUUUCUUGUCUUCACUCUCCCUAUCAGAGUAGUCCAUUAAUGCAUAAUGCACAGUAGUUUCUUCAGUGUCCCCUAGUUA